RNAcentral lists this long non-coding RNA (241 nucleotides) under Setaria italica (foxtail millet). RNAcentral describes it as "long non-coding RNA (SITA_LNC005846)". The record is from RNAcentral. Lineage: Eukaryota; Viridiplantae; Streptophyta; Magnoliopsida; Poales; Poaceae.
AGGCCAAGGUUUCACCUGGUUGACAGAGGAGGAGGAAGCCGACGAAGACAUGACAGAAAGUCGCGCCAACGAGAGGGGUAAGAGGAUAAAGCCGAAAGCCAAACCGGUGCUCUCGGAAGGAAGUGCCUAGGCCGGUACUUAUAAGAAAAAGAGGCGUGGAAAUUUGGUAGGGAUGUACCCCGUCGGAAAUAGGAAAGGCAAUAAAUAAAGGAGGCAUCGCGAAGGAUGGUCAAAGCAGUUA